Molecule: ribosomal RNA, 376 nt
Filed under: uncultured bacterium
Lineage: Bacteria
Description: bacterial SSU rRNA
Rfam family: Bacterial small subunit ribosomal RNA
Source: RNAcentral
AUUGAACGCAGGCGGCAUGCCUUACACAUGCAAGUCGAACGGCAGCACGGGAGCAAUCCUGGUGGCGAGUGGCGAACGGGUGAGUAAUAUAUCGGAACGUGCCCAGUCGUGGGGAUAACGUAGCGAAAGCUACGCUAAUACCGCAUACGAUCUAUGGAUGAAAGCGGGGGAUCGCAAGACCUCGCGCGAUUGGAGCGGCCGAUAUCAGAUUAGGUAGUUGGUGAGGUAAAGGGCUCACCAAGCCGACGAUCUGUAGCUGGUCUGAGAGGACGACCAGCCACACUGGGACUGAGACACGGCCCAGACUCCUACGGGAGGCAGCAGUGGGGAAUUUUGGACAAUGGGCGCAAGCCGUGAUCCAGCAAUGCCGCGUGCA